UACGGAGGAUGCGAGCGUUAUCCGGAUUUAUUGGGUUUAAAGGGUGCGUAGGCGGCGAGUUAAGUCAGCGGUAAAAGCCCGGGGCUCAACCCCGGCCCGCCGUUGAAACUGGCUGGCUUGAGUUGGGGAAAGGCAGGCGGAAUGCGCGGUGUAGCGGUGAAAUGCAUAGAUAUCGCGCAGAACCCCGAUUGCGAAGGCAGCAUACCGGCGCCCUACUGGCGCUGAGGCACGAAAGCGUGGGUAUCGAACAGG
RNAcentral lists this ribosomal RNA (252 nucleotides) under uncultured bacterium. Its description in RNAcentral is "partial 16S ribosomal RNA". It matches the Rfam family "Bacterial small subunit ribosomal RNA", at positions 524 to 776 of the family's 1533-position model. The record is from RNAcentral.